CAGCAGCCGCGGGAAAACGUAGGCGGCAAGCGUUGUCCGGAAUUAUUGGGCGUAAAGGGCUCGCAGGCGGUUUCUUAAGUCUGAUGUGAAAGCCCCCGGCUCAACCGGGGAGGGUCAUUGGAAACUGGGAAACUUGAGUGCAGAAGAGGAGAGUGGAAUUCCACGUGUAGCGGUGAAAUGCGUAGAGAUGUGGGGGAACACCAGUGGCGAAGGCGACUCUCUGGUCUGUAACUGACGCUGAGGAGCGAAAGCGUGGGGAGCGAACAGGAUUAGAUACCCCCGUAGUCCCUGUCUCUUAUAC
This 301-nucleotide ribosomal RNA is filed under the name uncultured bacterium. RNAcentral describes it as "partial 16S ribosomal RNA". It matches the Rfam family "Bacterial small subunit ribosomal RNA", at positions 509 to 807 of the family's 1533-position model. The record is from RNAcentral.